ACUCAAAUGAAUUGACGGGGGCCCGCACAAGCGGUGGAGCAUGUUGUUUAAUACGUCACUAACCGUAGAACCUUACCAGGGCUUGACAUCUUCGGACCUCCCAUGAAAGUGGGCUUUCCCCGCAAGGGGACCGGAAGACAGGUGUUGCAUGGCUGUCGUCAGCUCGUGUCGUGAGAUGUUGGGUUAAGUCCCGCAACGAGCGCAACCCUCACCCCAUGUUGCUAACAGGUGAAGCUGAGAACUCUUGGGGAACUGCCCGUGCAAGCGGGAGGAAGGUGGGGAUGACGUCAAGUCAGCAUGGCCCUUACGCCCUGGGCUACAAACAUGCUACAAUGGACGGCGUACAAAGGGAACCGAAAUCGCGAGAUGGAGGCAAUCUCAAAAAUCCGUCCCCAGUUCAGAUCGCAGGCUGCAACUCGCCUGCGUGAAGUCGGAAUCGCUAGUAACCGCCGAUCAGAUAAGCGGCGGUGAAUACGUUCCCGGGCCUUGUACACACCGCCCGU
RNAcentral lists this ribosomal RNA (503 nucleotides) under uncultured bacterium. RNAcentral describes it as "partial 16S ribosomal RNA". It matches the Rfam family "Bacterial small subunit ribosomal RNA", at positions 899 to 1397 of the family's 1533-position model. The record is from RNAcentral.